RNAcentral lists this ribosomal RNA (497 nucleotides) under uncultured bacterium. RNAcentral describes it as "partial 16S ribosomal RNA". It matches the Rfam family "Bacterial small subunit ribosomal RNA", at positions 28 to 507 of the family's 1533-position model. The record is from RNAcentral.
GAUGAACGCUGGCGGCGUGCCUAAUACAUGCAAGUCGAGCGAACAGACGAGGAGCUUGCUCCUCUGACGUUAGCGGCGGACGGGUGAGUAACACGUGGAUAACCUACCUAUAAGACUGGGAUAACUUCGGGAAACCGGAGCUAAUACCGGAUAAUAUAUUGAACCGCAUGGUUCAAUAGUGAAAGACGGUUUUGCUGUCACUUAUAGAUGGAUCCGCGCCGCAUUAGCUAGUUGGUAAGGUAACGGCUUACCAAGGCAACGAUGCGUAGCCGACCUGAGAGGGUGAUCGGCCACACUGGAACUGAGACACGGUCCAGACUCCUACGGGAGGCAGCAGUAGGGAAUCUUCCGCAAUGGGCGAAAGCCUGACGGAGCAACGCCGCGUGAGUGAUGAAGGUCUUCGGAUCGUAAAACUCUGUUAUUAGGGAAGAGCAAAUGUGUAAGUAACUAUGCACGUCUUGACGGUAUCUAAUCAGAAAGCCACGGCUAACUACGUG